AGCGAACGCUGGCGGCAGGCUUAACACAUGCAAGUCGAGCGGGCACUUCGGUGUCAGCGGCAGACGGGUGAGUAACACGUGGGAACGUACCCUUCGGUUCGGAAUAACGCUGGGAAACUAGCGCUAAUACCGGAUACGCCCUUUUGGGGAAAGGUUUACUGCCGAAGGAUCGGCCCGCGUCUGAUUAGCUAGUUGGUGGGGUAAUGGCCUACCAAGGCGACGAUCAAUAGCUGGUCUGAGAGGAUGAUCAGCCACACUGGGACUGAGACACGGCCCAGACUCCUACGGGAGGCAGCAGUGGGGAAUAUUGGACAAUGGGCGCAAGCCUGAUCCAGCCAUGCCGCGUGAGUGAUGAAGGCCUUAGGGUUGUAAAGCUCUUUUGUCCGGGACGAUAAUGACGGUACCGGAAGAAUAAGCCCCGGCUAACUUCGUG
This 433-nucleotide ribosomal RNA is filed under the name uncultured bacterium. RNAcentral describes it as "partial 16S ribosomal RNA". It matches the Rfam family "Bacterial small subunit ribosomal RNA", at positions 29 to 507 of the family's 1533-position model. The record is from RNAcentral.